This 2835-nucleotide ribosomal RNA is filed under the name Triticum aestivum (bread wheat). RNAcentral's name for it is "partial small subunit ribosomal RNA". Lineage: Eukaryota; Viridiplantae; Streptophyta; Magnoliopsida; Poales; Poaceae. The record is from RNAcentral.
AUGCCUCUCGCUUGCAAGGCCCUGCAAAAACCCAAGGCUGCCAUGGCGAUCAUCAACUCGGCGAGUACAAAACUGAGAUGGAUCCUGGCGCCGCUGCUCGUCCUGGCCAUGACGACGACUCGAGUCCAUGGCCAGCCUUCUUCUACCUCUGGGUUCAUAAGCCUCGACUGUGGAAAGAGAAAUAAUACUCCCUACACCGACAGCAGCAUACGAGGAAUACAGCACCAGUCCGACGCUGGAUUCGUCGAGGGCGGUUUGACCCACCAAAUAGCAGCAGUGUACAUGGCUGGUGCCCCAUAUGAGAGUCAAAAAACCUUGAGGAGCUUCCCCAACGGCUCAAGGAAUUGCUACACGCUGCCAUCCACCCCUGGUAAAAAGCUGGUGAGGGCCUUGUUUACUUACGGCGACUACGACGGGUUGAACCGGACCAUGGACGGGUCGCCAUUUUUAUUUGGGCUCCAUAUCGGUGCCAAUUUCUGGGAGGCGGUAAACUUGACAAAUUGGGAUCCAUCAAGCACAAUAUGGAAGGAGGUGCUCACCGUUGCUCCGGGCGACUCGGUGUCGGUCUGUCUGAUAAACUUCGGUACAGGGACUCCAUUCGUGUCUGCGUUGGAGCUGAGGCCACUGCAAGAUUCAAUGUACCCUUUUGUGAAUUCUUCGGUGUCAAUCAGCUACUUUCGCCGGAUCAGAUUUGGUCAAGCCACUGACUUCAUCACAAGAUAUCCAUUGGACCCUUACGACCGGUUCUGGGAGGGCUGGUCUUUCUCCUACAACACCUACCCCUGGAUGACCCUAAACACUAGCAGUCCAGUGAGAAGGCUACCCGGCGACAACACCUUCCAGGUACCAGAGGGCAUCCUCCAGCAGGCCAGCACUCUAGACACAAACUACUCCUUCUUCGAGAUCAAUGUGGCAGUGGGUCCCAACCUGGACGCCAAGAAUCUGCAGCUUCUCCCGAUCUUCCACUUUGCCGAGAUCAACAUCAGCAACCAGAAUAGGAGGUUCGACAUCUACAGCGACAAUGACUUGCUGUUUCCAGACUUCUCGCCGUCAAGAUUUCAGGCGGACAGCAUGCACGAGAACGGGCGGUUCUUGCAUAACCCUACCGCAACCUUCCUGCUGAACAAGACACGCAGCUCAAGGCUCCCGCCGCUCAUCAAUGCGUUUGAGGUGUACUCGCUAGUGCGGAUGGAUAACCUCACCACUGACGCCGACGAUGUCAAUUACAUGAAAGAAGUCAAGAAACACUACAAUUUGGCACGAAUAAACUGGAACGGAGAUCCAUGCUCCCCAAGAGAAUAUUCCUGGGAAGGUUUGACUUGCGACUACUCUAAGAGAAACCAGAAUCCGAGGAUUGUUGCAGUAGAUCUGUCUACUAGUGGACUGAAAGGUGGAUUAAUCAUAUCAUUCAUGAACAUGGCAUCACUGGAGAACUUGGAUUUAUCACACAACAAUUUGACAGGAGCUAUUCCAGACUACCAAAUAAAGUCACUCAAAGUUCUCGAUUUGUCAUAUAACCAGCUCGAUGGACCAAUCCCUAAUUAUAUUCUUCAAAGAUCUCAGGCCGGUCUGCUUGACUUAAGGUUAGAAGGCAAUCCCGUAUGCUCAAAAGUCAAAGAUACGUACUGUUCAAAUAAGAAGAACACCAAAUCUACCAUGCUCAUCGCAGUGAUAGUUCCUGUAGUACUGGUAUCCCUCCUAGUAGUGAUGUGCAUACUCUGGAAAUUGUGCUGGAAAGGGAAGUCAGGAGACAAUGAGGAUUAUGCUAUGUAUGAAGAGGAAACACCCCUACAUAUUGAUAUCAAACGGUUCACGUACGCAGACCUGAAACACAUAACAAACGACUUCAAACAAAUCGUUGGAAAAGGAGGUUUUGGUACUGUUUAUCAUGGCACAAUGGAAAAUGGUGAUGAAGUAGCUGUUAAGGUGCUUAUGGAGACAUCAAUAGCGGAGUCAACAGAUUUCCUCCCUGAGGUGCAAACCUUGUCCAAAGUUCAUCACAAGAAUCUCGUGACUCUACAAGGAUAUUGCCAGAACACGAAGUGCCUAGCCCUCGUUUAUGACUUCAUGCCCAGAGGAAAUCUUCAACAGCUUUUAAGAGAAGGAGAUGACUACAGUUUGACUUGGGAACAGCGACUUCAUAUUGCACUUGAUUCGGCACAAGGACUGGAAUAUCUACAUGAGUCAUGCACCCCAUCAAUAGUUCACAGAGAUGUCAAGACAGCCAACAUCCUUCUGGACAAGAACCUGGUGGGGAUAAUAGCUGAUUUUGGGCUUUCGCGGGCUUUUAACGAUGCACACACGCACAUAUCUACCGUUGCUGCUGGCACUCUCGGCUACCUCGACCCCGAGUACCAUGCAACUUUCCAGCUCACCAUCAAGACGGAUGUUUACAGCUUCGGCAUCGUGCUCUUGGAGAUCAUCACUGGCAAGCCCCCGGUAUUGAUGGACCCUCACACCUACCACCUACCAAACUGGGUACGCCAAAAGAUUGCGAAAGGCAGUAUUCAAGAUAUCGUGGACAAGAGGCUGUUGGAUCAGUACGACGCCAAUUCCCUGCAGAGCGUGGUGGACCUUGCCAUGAACUGUGUGGAGAGUGCAGCCAUCGACAGGCCGAGCAUGACCGAGGUUGUUUCAAGGCUAAAAGUGUUGUUGCCAACGACUCCAAGCCAGAAACAGUAUGCUUCCCCGUCCUCCACGAAGUCCAUGAAUGAUGAAAUGCGAAAGCAGUUCCAGCUGUUGAUUUCUGGAGAAGGCAACUACGAGAGCUCCAGCUCCUUCCAGUCUCGCUAUACCAGUAGGAUGACAGAAUUGCCCCCCUUAUCUGGACGGUGA